ACCCUUCUUCAUCUUCAAUAGAAACCAACCAUACCCAAAUCAUCCAUUUUUGGUACCAUGAAGCCUUGCAUGUGUUUAUUUUAAAGCUAUUGGUACUGUGAUGUUUAGUUAGGAGCUAAGCAUUGUUAGAAACUUCAUGGAUUUGGGAGGUUUAAGAAAAAGUGUCAGACUUUUGGAUGGAAUCUAUUAGAAGGGAAAAUUCAAUUUUGACCCAUUCCCUUGGAGCUGGCCGUAUCACCCCCACCUCUUCCCCAAGUUCAGAUAUUGAUUUGUAUUGUGGUCAAACACAUGAUUUUGCCUUGAAAUUGAGUGGAGUUAAAGGAGUGGAAGGCUGCAUGUAGCAUCUCUUGGUGCCAAAUGGAUAUGAAAUAAAGUGGCCGAUUUUAGAAGAUAUUGAAGAAUCAAGUGGGUGUCACUAAAGUUCUCAACUGUGUUCUCUUGAAAGGUGGGUUCCUUUAGAAGCUUAACUUUUAGAUUAGUUAGCACCUUUAGUUUCCCCAAAUUCAAUAUAUUUAUGAUAACAUUAGUAUUAGUUAGGAAAUUAGUCUCCCCAAAAUUAUGCAUGACAACAAUAGGAAAGUUAGGAAAUAAUUGUGUGAGAAGGUUUAAUCCCAAAACCAUCUCCAUUCUAAUUAUAUAAUAUAUUUUAGUUGCUUAUGAAUGGACAUGAAUGUGAUUGUAGGUGGAAACUGAUAAACUCUAUUAAAAGUAAAAAGCCGAGAAUUGAACUGGUAUUCUCGCAUAGCGAGCAUCUUGCUUCUCUAAGCGAGCGUAUCAGAUCAGGACUUUGUAGAAUCAACAUUUUAAAUAAAAAUCCACUCGUUUUAUGUCCUUGACUAUUAUGGAAUAUUUCGUAAGCAGCGUAAUAAUUUUAUGUGAUUAGAAUGUUUAUCACGCUCAGGAACUUAGGUUCAGGACUCAGGAUAGUUAGAAUUACCCCGGGAAGGUUUUCUUUCUUUUGGGUAGGAUAACCAUUCAAGAUUAGGAAUUAUGUUUCAGAAUCUAUCAGGAUGUUUGGUCAUUAGUACCAAUAUCAGGAAGCGUGGUCAUUAGUACCAUGUCAGGGGAUUCAUUCAGAAUCCAAAAUCAUGUAAUAAGAACUGUNNNNNNNNNNNNNNNNNNNNNNNNNNNNNNNNNNNNNNNNNNNNNNNNNNNNNNNNNNNNNNNNNNNNGGCACUCCGGGACCGGCUUACCCCGGGGUGAUCCUGUUAUGAUAAAAUUGACAAGAUAAUUAUUAUGUGUGUUACACCUUUAUUGCUUUAUUAUCAUGUUAUGAAAACUUCAGGAUUAUGUCAGGAUUAGAACUAUUAGAUAUUCAGGUUCAGGUUAAAGAUAAAAACUAUUAGUUUCAGUUGCCUCGGUGUAGUCACCAGUAGUUGGGUAGUAGGAGCUCACUGAGGCUUAGUAGUCUCAUCCCAUGACUUUCAAUUUUUUUUUAGGUAAACAGGUUAACCGGAGCAAGGACCAGGCAGGAACUGAUGAUCGAGGUUGAGCUUGGAUUAUCGGACUAGAAGACUAUCGUCUUCUUCUUUGUUUUUAUGUUAAUCUGUUAAGUUAGAAUUUAAUUCUCUUCUGCUGUAUUUUACUGGAUUAUCACAUUAUUAUCGUGAUAUUGUAAAAUUCAAGUAAUUAUUCUGUAAUUUUAAUGUACUCAGAUUCAAUUAUAUAUGUCUCGGCUAAAUAUCUAGACAAUUUAGUUGGGGCGUUACAAUUGGUAUAAGAGCAGGUCGAUCUAGUAUCGGACCUUGCCAUGAGUCAUUAGAAUUUAUUCCUAAGUAGUACGGACCCUUUGGAGUCUGGACUGUUUACGCUGAAACCAUUGCUUGUUGAGCCCGUACAACUCAGUAUCGUAUAUGGUAGACAGGGUAUUACGGUUGAGAGCCGAAGUGGACCUCCUUGGUGGUCGAGUAGUAAGAUCGAAGUAGAAGCGCAACUCAGGGGGAAGCGCGAAUAUCUUUAGAAGCGGAGGUUGGAGCUACUGCAAUCGAUGCCACACGAGUAAGUAGAGUAACACCAACAACAAGUGGCGCGUAGAAUUUGGGAACAGUGCAUGGCUGCGUACCGGUAGUGAAAGGCAUGUCUCGAAGAUGCACGAAUCAGACGUGAUCUAUUGAUAGUAACAUGUAUAAGGAUGUGGAAAAUUCUGGUAAUGGAAAACCCAUUAUCAAAGUAAGUGUUUACCGAAAGGGAAUCGAGACUGGGUAUAGAAGUAAGAUACCCAGAUGUUAGCAGUAAAUCCAAAGUUGAGUAUAUCGAAAGUUGAAUUGUUACACGGAUGAAUGUAGAUAAACCAUUAUACCGAAGUGUGUAGUACAUGAUAGUAUCCAACUGACACUAUGUGUCAGGUAAAAUUUUCCUGACCUAGAAGUAACCACAUUCUCUUGUGAACCUACGUACCAGAAGCAUGUUGAACCAAGUAAGACCUAGCAGUCAAUAGACCGAAACUCUUCCUAAGUACUUAACCUUCCUUGCAUCUAAGAAAUUCAUCCAGUGUUGUUAGACCAAUCAACUACUUGUACUAGAGAAACCAAUUAGAACACAUACACAUACCAAUAAUUUUUUUUAUGCCGUCUUAUUAGACUACCCUCUAGAAUGUCAGCAUUAAAAUGUCCUUAAUAAAAGGAAUUCACUCUUUCAAUUCAUAGACAGUAAUCAUACCAAACCUCUAGAAGCUUAGUUUUAUUUAGUAUAACAAUCAGAAAUUAUCUCUUCACAAUGCAUGUUAUCCAGGUAGGCAAACUAAGUGCUAUCAUUCAAUUGUUCUUGAACUAGUAACUCAGUUCAGUACUAGUUUCAGUCGUUCGUCAAACCAUUCAUGUAUUCAAACCUAUCAGCUAAUGAUUCAACAUAAUCAGUUAAUCCUUCCUUGAUAAGUUUGUCAGCUAAAAACCUGAAUGAGAACCCAGUUGUCCUAACUCGAGAGAAAUGCCAGCAAAAAGGAAAUUAUGAAGUAUGAGUUUGAACCCAGUAGUAGUCGGAUUGUCACCUAUCUUUCCAUGUGAACCCUAACUCAUCGUAAUUCGUCGAGUCAAACAGAUUUUGAUUCUAUAUCCACCAAUAUUAGAAAACCAUGAACGAGCGUGCUUCCCUAACUUGUCUGCUUACGCAUCAUAUAGAUACUUCAUUUUUUUUGUUUUAAUGCCUAUCAACCAUGUGCGACAUGCAAAUUCGAAAUAUCAGUAAGUCAAACUGAUAUGGUAGAACAUCACUCUUAAGUAACCAUGUCAAAUGUCUUCAGCCUUUUAGUUACGUUGAUAAUAACUAGUUCAUAUUGAUUCAAUUCGGUGAAGUUAAGAAGUAGUAAUAAGACCAUCAUUAAUAUGAUCCUUUCAGUUUCAUUCUCUAUAACCAUGUUAGAUCAGUGUUAACUCUGAGUAUCUCUGUCAGAAUAUUUCAGCUUUCUAUAUCUGUCAACGACAAUUAGGUCAAAUCAACAUAAAUUGAAAUUACUCGUAUAGGGUAAUGAAUCACCAUCAAAUGGAUAUUGUUUCUUGAUCUAAUUACUGCGUAAUGAAACCACUAAUCAUCUGGAGUUAAACAACUUAAUUCAGUCUCAGCAUUAGAAGUUCAAACCUUAUGUGUUCAGCUAGCCACAUUAGAACUCGACAGUUUAGUCAAAUCUCCAUCACACUAGCCUGCCAUUUAAAGUCUAAAAAGAUCCAACCUUUACCCGUAAGAUAAAAUUCGAACUCAAGCUCAUCUACAUGUUUAAUGUACAACUAGAUCCCGAUGUUGUGCUAGGAAGGAUUGGAAUGGUAGGUGGAAAUUUCCGAAAGAACUAUGGGUCCGUUUGCAGAUGAGUUUAACUUAUUGGCAAAAGGGGAUUGUAGUAUUUAGGCACUCUUCCACUCGUUUUAUAUUCCAAUCGAUCCUGGAGUAUUUAAACAACGCAUGUGGUGUAGUGGUACACAUGACAUGUUGAGCGCUUGUAGUGUUCGAAAAUGAGAAUAUCCAAUGGAAGGAAGAUUUUUGGAUGUCAAAAUUAUUACUCAACCUUAUAUCCUUCAGAUAACCUUGUAACGUAAACCAUUGGCCCAUGUUUUGGUGUGUACCCAACCAGGCCAUAUACCGACCUUACCAGAUACCGACCUAAGGAAGUGCGUUGAGUAACAAAGUUAUUGCCGGAAGCAAUAAAAGGAGACUAAUUGUAGCUAAGGGUGGUGAAGUGAUAAGCUAAGCAGAGACCAACUCGCGGAGAAUUUCACUGAUUGAAAGUAAGUUGUCGAAAUCAGAGUGCGCAGCAAGUAUGAGCUAAGGAUGUAGUUAGUAAUUUGACUUGUAACUUCACAACCCUUUCAAUCCAAGAAACUGGAUGUAAUUGACGUGAAAUGAGUAAUCCGCGUAUGAUGAGUAAGUACGCCCCCAGUUACACUUAAACCUUGGAUUGAAAGUAGCAUAGUACCCUUGAGAGCAAAGAUGGUGUUAAAAAAACACGGUUCAACUAAGAGGUUUAACGUGGUGAACUAGUAUGAGUAGGUGUAAUCUGGUAUAAUCUGGUAUCAACUACAAGAGAGACAAAGAGACUAAUGUUCCGUAAGCACGAGAACUGUGAACAAGUAACAAGAAAAUAUGCUUAUGGGAUAAGCGCGCCAUAGAGUUGUGGUACUGUACUAAAGUAAGGGUUCAGUUUCAUGAAAGGGACGAAGACACAAGACGGUUACCGGAUGUAAGCGAAGAUGUUCUUGAAUUUCGAGGACGAAAUUCUUCUAAGGAGGGUAGAUUGUAACAUCCCGACUUUAAUUAAUAGAAAAAUAUUAAUUAGAGGUAAUUAUUGGAGAUCAAUUGAGAAUAUUUUUAUCGGAUAAAAAUAAGAAAUUGUGAUUUAAGAAGGAGAAUGGCAAAGUAGUAUUAAGUGAGUAAAUGUUUGGCUAUUUGAUUACUUUAGUGCCUUGUGGACAUACAAUUGUCAUCACAAGUUUUCCCAAUCCUUUCUCUCUCUCACGUGCUUCUCUCUUAACUCCCCACUCACUUUAUUUUCAACCAAUAACAUCAAUGCAAUGCAAUGGAAAUAAAAUUACAAGUAAUGGGACCACAUUUGACUAGUUAGAAGGAGAAAAGGGACACAUAGUCACAAAGUUGGAAAACCAAUCUUUCCCUAUUCUUUCACUUUCACGCCUAAUCACUCCACAACCACAAGAUCUCAAUCCUCUCAUCUUUCUCUUCACGCAAAAACAGAAACAAAAGCACCAUGACCCCAUUUCAUUUCUCUCUCUCUCUCGUGGAACACACCACUCAACUUCCAUUUUUCAAGCUAGAAACCACACCCCACAUGUAACAUCCCAACCUUAAUUAAUAGAGAAAUAUUAAUUUGAGAUAAUCCUUGGAAAUUAAAUGGAAAUAAGUGAAUAAGUAUAAAAGGAUAAUUAAAGGACACAAGGAAACUCUAGUGGUAAGUGGCAAGNNNNNNNNNNNNNNNNNNNNUUAAUUUACCAUAAAAGCCUAACAACCAACCCUUCCAAUUCAUUCUUUCACUUUGCAAAAGUCAGAACAUAGCACUACUCCCUACAAACUCUCUCUCACGCCCUCAAUUAGUUUCUAACCCAUUUUUCUACUCUCAAAAGCAAAACUCAGCUCAACACCACCAACCAUGGGAGUUUCUUGCAUGCAAUUCACUCAUUAGUCUCCUCGGGUCAAUUAGAGCAAGGUAAGAAUUUGAGUCUCUCACUUCUCUUCUUUCUCAAUUCACACCAUUCACCCUCUCACCCAUAUGGGUUUCAUUCUCCAACCUCUUUGGUUUGUGGCUUGCAUGUACCUAUUUUGAUGUUCUUGGAGCUGUCAUGUUUGGUUAGAAGCUAGAGAAUUAGUGGGAACUUCAAGGACUUGAUGAAUUAAUGGAAGGAGCAGAUUUGGGAAAAAGAAAGGAAUAUGAUAGUGCAAGCUUUUCAACAACAAUUAUCANNNNNNNNNNNNNNNNNNNNNNNNNNNNNNNNNNNNNNNNNNNNNNNNNNNNNNNNNNNNNNNNNNNNNNNNNNNNNNNNNNNNNNNNNNNNNNNNNNNNNNNNNNNNNNNNNNNNNNNNNNNNNNNNNNNNNNNNNNNNNNNNNNNNNNNNNNNNNNNNNNNNNNNNNNNNNNNNNNNNNNNNNNNNNNNNNNNNNNNNAAUAUACGAAUACGAAAAAUGGGUCGUUACAGAUAGUGCAAGCUUUUCAACAACAAUUAUCAGUUGCUAUCAUCUUCAAUUAAAAGGUGGGUUCUUAGGUCCCUUGCCUUAAGAAUUUAAUUAGAAGCUUAGUUACCCCAAAAAUCACACUUGUGCAUGUUAACAUAGGUUUAAUUUAGGAUAUUUGGAAUUAAACAUUAAUUGGAUUAAUUAACUAUUAGAUUAAUUCCCUACAUGUUUGAAAUGAUAGAAAUUCAUGGAAUCUAGUGUAAACAAGUGAAUUGCAAACUGUUUUGGAGUCUCUGUUUUGAGAGUUAUGCAGGAUUUUCGUGUUUGAAUCAGUUUAUGGGAGCUAUGAAUCGAUGCUAAAGCCUCCCUGGGCUUGAGAAAUGCGCGUCUGAAACUUAUGAGCAGGUUCAUGUCUUUUGUGUACCGGUGCAUAAGCUUCAGCAUGCAGUUUUUAUAAAAAAACUAGGAACCUUUGCACCGAUACGUGCCCUGUAUGAGCUGACUCAAAGCCCGAGGAACAUAGUCAUGCAGAGAUGCAUAGGUAGCAUGAAUCGGUGCAUAGAGAGCCAAAACAUAUUUUCAACAAACUUGGUUUCUUGCACCGGUACAUAUUUCCUUUGAAUUGAUGCAUCCUGGGACAACUUUUAUAUUUUAAAAGUAAUUAGAUUCCAUGGUUUCAUAUUUUCCCACAUGCUUUAAAAUUAAUCUAGACUAAGAAUUAGGUGAGGAAACUAUGAUUAUUAGAAUUACCCCGGGAUGGUUGUUAAGUUAAGAACACUAAGAAAUUAGAAUAGUCGAGUAGAUUAGUGGUUGACACCCAAACCACCAUUCAUUAUAAUUUCGACUAUAGUAAGAUUUCCGUACAUUAGUAGGAAUCCGUUAAGUUAAAUAAUUAAUGUGAGUAAGACCACCGUGGCAUAGCUAUGUCACAAUGGGUAGUGGAGAACAUCCUGAGUGGAGAACAUCCUAAGAGGAGUACAUCCUUAGUGGACCUUUCGAGAUAUACUCACCUCGGAAGCUUCCUAUAAAAUGAAUCAAGAUAACUAUUGUGUGAUACAUCUUUAGUUUCUAUUAAGAGAAUUAUUAUGUUUAAGUCAUUCUUAUGAAUGUAACGAAUUAACGAUCGAUUCCAAUAAUGAGUCCUAAGAGAUAGUUGUACCUAGAUGGGUAGCGAGGAAUCCAUUGAGACGAAGUGACUGUCUCACCCCACUCCCUUUUGAUACAGAUAAACAGGUUGCUGAGCAGAGAGCUAUGGACUGGUCGAAGUGAAGUGGCAUUGGAUGUUACUGUCAUUGUUUAUCUGGAUAUUCUAUUAAGUCGUUGUAUAAGUUAGUGUUAUAACGUGUUUGUAUUGACUGGUUAUAUAUGGCUCUGAUGUAAGUUUUAAGUUACAUUAUGACAGGAAUGUUAUCAUUCAGUUUAGUCAAUACUUGUAUAAUGACAAGGCCUUUAUGUGUUAUGGGUAUAUACAACGAGUUUAAUUCAGUAAUUUUAAUGUAUCCCGAUCUUUAUACUUACGUCUCGGCUAAUAUUCUAGAUAAAUUAGCUGGGGUGUUAUAAUUGGUAUCAGAGCAGGUCGAUCCAGUAUCGGACUUUGCCGUGGAGCAUUAGAAUUCAAGUUAAGUAGUAGGGACCCUUUGGAGUCUGGACUGUUUACGUUGAAACCAGCGCGUGCUGAGCCCGUACAACUCAGUAUCGUGUGUGGUAGGCAGGGUACUACGGUUGAGAACCGGAGUGGACUAAGGAGGUAAAGGAUGAGUAGCGCGGNNNNNNNNNNNNNNNNNNNNNNNNNNNNNNNNNNNNNNNNNNNNNNNNNNNNNNNNNNNNNNNNNNNNNNNNNNNNGUGAAAACACGAAGUUAGGUGGAAGUGUAAACGGAGGACUGUAGAGGCAAACUUCAGAGCUACAACAGUCAAUGCAACGAAAGUAAGCAGUGUGUCACCAUUGAGUGUUGUAAAAGAUUCGACGAAUGAUAAGUGGCUUAAUACCCAUAUAUAGGAGUAGAAAUUGCCCCGGAUAAUGCGUUGAAUGCGGAAGCCACAAUCAGGACUGUGUAUGUAAAGACGACCAGAUGUUAUAGAUGCGAAGAGUCAAAUGCCUUGUAAAAGAUUGGAAUUGAAGGGAUAACAGUCGUGUUGAAGUUUGAAAUUUAUAGCAAGGCUGGUUUAGAGUGACGCAACUGUAAGUUGGAGAAUAAGACAAAUGUCGGAGUUGAGAUGGCUGAGAGCAAAUGAAGCAAUUUGGCAGUUCCUUCGGGACAGCAAGUUAGGAAUUAAGUAGGCCGGAAAUUGAACCGUCGCUUUGCUGGAAUGCAUGUAUAAGUGAGGCCUUACAACAAUACCUGAGGAGGCGACGUAAGAGUGUCAAUUGAUGGAUGAUCAAUUUAGACGUCGGAGUAAGGACGACGAUGUUUCUAAUUUACGCAAUAAUACAGUUGAUGGAGUAGUUAACGACCACAAGCAAUGAAGGUUUAGUUUGUGAUGCCAUACGACAGAUGAUUUAACAAUGUGACAAGAAAUAAAAAUAAUCAGUGAAGUAUUUAGUAGACUGACUGUUGGGAGUAAGUACAAUGGAAGAAUGUUUGGACUACCCUGGUAGAAUAAAAGAAAUACCGAAUGAAGGUGUUCAAGCCCAAAUUUUAAGUAUGGAUGCAGUGCCUGAGAGUCAGACAUUACCCAACCAACAAUUGCAUAUAUGGAGCUGUGAGGCUGAUGGUCAGUAGUGUGCGACUGAUAUCUGGAGGUUUUGUUGAGUGAACCAUGGAAGUUGAAAAUAAUAAAUUGUCAAGCCAGACGGAGGACCCCCUUAACUCUAUGAGAGAGUGGAAUGUAAGCUAGACAGGAAAUAAUCAAAAGAAUUUAUGUGGCGUAUAGACCCUUACGCUUGAGUUAUCCACCCAUCUAUGUAAACCUUACCUCAACCGGAUUUAUCAAAUCAAGUAGUGUGACCAUAAUCUGGCUGAAGUUGUAUCAUCAGUUACCUAUACUUUCGUGCAAAUUCUAAAUUCUACCAAACCCUUCGAAUCGAGCGAUUCCUGAUUCGUACUUAGUAAGCCUUACAAAUUUCUUGAGCAUUACGUUCCCGGAACUUAUCUAAUCUAGAUAGAGAGAUAAAUCACUUACCUUUAGUGUAAGAAUUCAAGCAAGUUGCGAAUCUUUCUAAUUCCUUAAUGCCAGCUAAUUGGAUUCACAUUCAGAUUAUUAUCCUAUGUGACUCUAAUGGAAUGUCUUCAGUUUUCAGCCUUGUUGUCAGUGAUCAAUUCGGAUCGAUGUAAGCUCGAAAGACUUGUUAAGAGUAAUAAAUCAUGUUUGAUGACGAAUCGUCACACUCUCUAAUCCAGGCCUAUUUUAGCAACAUUGGAUGCANNNNNNNNNNNNNNNNNNNNNNNNNNNNNNNNNNNNNNNNNNNNNNNNNNNNNNNNNNNNNNNNNNNNNNNNNNNNNNNNNNNNNNNNNNNNNNNNNNNNNNNNNNNNNNNNNNNNNNNNNNNNNNNNNNNNNNNNNNNNNNNNNNNNCCGACCUUUUAGUUUCAUUACUGAUGACCGGUGCAGAACCACAUAAGUUGAAUCAAUCAUUAAGGGUCAUGAGUAAUUUCAGUUUAAGUAUUGUCUCGUUUAAUUGUGAACAAAACCAUUAAGAUACCUUGAACGUUAAAAACGUUAAAUUCGGCGAAUUCAGUUCUAUUCUAUGUACCAUGUUAGACUAGUAUUAACUCUGAGUAUCUUUGCCAUAGUAAUCCAGCUCUCUAAUCUGUUAUCGAUAAUCAGUUCAAGUUAGUAUAAGGUGGAAUUACUUGUGUACAGUAAUGACUUGCUAUCAAUUGAGAAUUAUUUCUUGUCAUAUUCAAUCCGUUAAUUGACCCACUAAUCAUCCAGAGUCAAGCAACUCAAUUCAUUCUCAGCAUUAGAAGUUCAAAAAUACCUUACGUGUUUAGCUAGCCAGAUUUAGAAUUCGACUGUUUUUGCCAAAUUUCCAUCAUGUUAGCUUAUUAGUUGAAUUUUCAAACAAGUCUAACCCUUAAGAGAAAAUUCGAACUGAAGUUCAUAUGCAUGUUAAAUGUACAACUCGUUCACUGUGUUGUACUAGGAUGGAUUGAAAUUGUAAGUGGAAAUUUUCCCAAGGAACUAUAGGUCUGUUUGCGAAUCAGUUGAACUUGUUGACAAAAGGAUCUGUAGUAUUUAGACACUCUUCCACUCAUUUUAUAUUUCAAUCGAUCCUAGAGUAUUUAAACAACGCAUGUGUUAUGUAGUGGUACAUAUGACAUGUCAGACUCUGUAGUGUUCAGAAAUGAGAUCAACCAUGAGAAUGAAGAAAUUUUUCAAAAACAAGUCUGAGAAGAUAUACCAAGAAGAUUUUUGGAUUAGUUGGUAAUUGUAGCCAAGUUUAUACCCUCAAGAUAACUUUAUGACAUCGGUUAGUGUUUCGUGUUUCAAAGUGUAACCAACCAGGCCAGAUACCGACCUACUAAGUUAGUGAGUAACGAAAUUGUUGCUGGGAGCAAUAAAAGGAGUUUAACCGUAGCAGAGGACAGUAAAACAAGAAGUUAAGCAGAAUCAACUCCCAGAUAACAUCAGUAGAGUAGGUAAUAGUUGUUGAUUGAAUCAGAUAAGUUACCACAAGUGAAUUAUGACGUGACGAAGAAACUUAGUGAAAAGAGCGACACAUUGAGGAGGUCUGAAGUAUGAGACAACAUUAAGUAAUGUAAGUUGAUGUGUCGCGAGCGUGCUAGAAUGUAGUGAAUAUUGAAAUUUAGUGGUGCUUCUGACGUCACGAAGUGUAACAAGUGUUACUUUGUGAUUUCCAACGAUAGAAGGAGUAAUAACAGUUGAAGUAACGCCGAAUAAGAUAAGACAAUGUGUGACAUUAUCCAGGAAACUUUGGACCAAGACUGCAAUGACGCAGUCAAGAGGAUGACAGUAAGUAGUCGAAAUCAGAGUGCACAACAAGUGAUAGUUGGGAAUGAAGUCAGAAGACUGGCUUUUGGGCCAACAGCUCUUCGAAAGAGGAAAGUUUUAUUCCAAGGAAUUUGAUAUGAAUGACUGUAAGGUGACUAAUGAACGCAUGCCGAAGGAAGUAGGCGUUCAUAAAGGCGUGAACCCGUGAAUCUAAAGAAUAGAGCGGGAGAUGCUAAUGUGUCCGGAGCGAAUGGAAUAAGAAGUAACAAAAAAAAAGGACGAGUAUAACACGAACGCAUACCCAAGAGUUAUAUUAAUGGACUGAAGUUGAAGGUUCAUGAAAGCAUAAGUAACAAUUCUUGGUAGUAAACAGACAAAAAGUGUAGUAAGGUGUGAUGAGUAGUGAUCUUUUGAAUCCCGUAGGCGAGCUGAAGUCGGAAACUCGAACGAUUAUCCUAACGGUGAAUGAAGAAGUUCCGAAUUUCGAGGACGAAAUUCUUUUAAGGGGGGUAGAUUGUAACAUCCCAACCUUAAUUAAUAGAGAAAUAUUAAUUUGAGAUAAUCCUUGGAAAUUAAAUGGAAAUAAGUGAAUAAGUAUAAAAGGAUAAUUAAAGGACACAAGGAAACUCUAGUGGUAAGUGGCAAGNNNNNNNNNNNNNNNNNNNNNUUAAUUUACCAUAAAAGCCUAACAACCAACCCUUCCAAUUCAUUCUUUCACUUUGCAAAAGUCAGAACAUAGCACUACUCCCUACAAACUCUCUCUCACGCCCUCAAUUAGUUUCUAACCCAUUUUUCUACCAAGAACCACGUAGGUCCAACAGGAUACGUCAAGAACCUGAAAGAUAUGGAUAUCUCAUAUCGGAACAAGGUGAUGUAUUACUCAUGGAUCAAGAUGAGCCUGUGACUUACCAAGAGGCCAUUACUGGCCCUUAAUCUAAGAAGUGGCUUGAAGAGAUGAAAUCUGAAAUGGAUUCCAUGUACACAAACCAAGUUUGGAACUUGGUGGAAGCUCCUGAUGGGGUCAAGCCCAUAGGAUGCAAAUGGGUCUUCAAGAAGAAGNNNNNNNNNNNNNNNNNNNNNNNNUAUAAAGCGCGAUUGGUUGCUAAAGAUUUCAAACAAAUUCAUGGCGUAUACUAUGAUGAAACCUUUUCACCAGUUGCGAUGAUUAAAUCCAUUCGGAUCUUACUUGUCAUCGCCGCAUACUAUGAUUAUGAAAUUUGGCAGAUGGAUGUAAAAACAGUCUUCCUUAAUGGGAGUCUCCUUGAGGAUGUGUACAUCACACAACCUGAAGGUUUUUGCAUUCCAGGUGAAGCCAAAAAGAUAUGCAAAUUACAGCGAUCAAUCUAUGGAUUAAAGCAAGCUUCCAGAAGUAGGAAUCUUCGUUUUGAUGAAACUGUGAAACAGUUUGGAUUCAUCAAGAAUGAAGAUGAACCUUGUGUUUACAAAAAGGUUAGUGGGAGCAUAGUCGUGUUCCUAGUAUUGUAUGUAGAUGAACAAAGUUAAAACUUGGUUAGGGAAUUGCUUUUCUAUGAAAGAUCUGGGUGAAGCAGCCUAUAUAUUAGGAAUAAGAAUCUAUAGAGAUAGAUCUCAGAAACUGCUUGGCUUAAGGCAGAGUACAUACAUAGAUNNNNNNNNNNNUGAUUCCAAGAAAGGAUUCAUUCCUAUGCAGCAUGGCUUGUGUCUUUCGAAAACACAAUCCCCUUCGUCUAAGGAAGAAAGGGAUCGCAUGAGUAAGAUUCCUUAUGCAUCAGCUAUAGGAUCUAUUAUAUAUGUAUGCCAUGAUAUGUACUCGUCCAGAUGUUUCAUAUGCCUUAAGCGCAACGAGCCGAUAUCAGUCUGAUCCUGGUGAGGCUCAUUGGGUAGCUGUCAAGAAUAUCCUAAGUACUUAAGAAGGACUAAGGACUCAUUCCUUAUAUAUGGAGGUCAAGAAGAGCUAAAUGUAAUUGGUUACACUGAUGCUAGCUUCCAGACAGAUAGGGAUGAUUUUAGAUCGCAGUCUGGUUUUGUGUUUUGCAUAAAUGGUGGCGCUGUGAGCUGGAAGAGUUCAAAGCAAGAUACAGUUGCUGAUUCUACAACGGAAGCUGAGUACAUUGCCGCAUCAAAUGCAGCAAAGGAAGCUGUUUGGAUAAAGAAGUUCAUUACUGAACUUGGCAUAUUCCCUAGCAUUGUGGAUCUCAUUGAUCUGUUUUGUGAUAACAAUGGCACAAUCGCACAAGCUAAGGAGCCUAGAUCUCACCAAAAGUCCAAACAUAUACUCAGGUGCUAUCAUCUUAUUCGAGAAAUAAUUGAUAGAGGAGAUGUGAAGAUAUACAGAGUACCAACACUCGACAAUGCUGCUGACCCACCUACAAAACCUCUUGCUCAGCCGAAGCAUGAGGGCCAUACUAGGAACAUAGGUAUUAGGAGUAUGCCUGAUUGGCUCUAGUGCUAGUGGGAGAUUGUUGGUGUAAGCCCUAGAGGCCAAUUAUUUAUGAUUGCAUGAUACUUGUAUUGAAUAAUUCAUUUAUUAANNNNNNNNNNNNNNNNNNNNNNNNNUUAAGUGGAACGUUAAGUAUGACUUAAUCGUGAGAAUCCAUUAAACAUAAGAACACUAUUCUUAAAGCAUCCGUAGUCAAGCUUUAAAGUGAAAUGGGAUAACAUUAAAGCAUAGAGGUUAUUAUGUUGGUAGACUGAUGAUCACAUCUCACGGAUCAUAGAUAAAGAGUUAUCAAGUCUUCACAUAGAUAUAAAUGUUAAGGGUAACAUUUGUAUCGGAUUGACCCACCGUGAGAAUACUACAUAGUGUGUUAUGAAAUGUCAUAAGAUAUUCUCAUAGUGAUAAGUGGUGUAUUCCACCCUUCGACCUUAAAUCACUAUGUACCCUAGAUGUAGGAGUGUAUUACCUUGUUGCCACUCAAACGUUAUCCGUAACAGGAUGACUAUAAAGUUGGUUGAUGGGUAUUCCACGAAUCAUGCUGAGGGACAUAAGUGACCUAGAUGGAAUUUGCCCCUCCUACAUAACAUGAGAUAUGUCUAUGGGCCCAAUAUUGAACUUAGCAAGGGUGACAUACUAUGCCUUCUGUUCAAUAUAGACAUAAGGGUAAAAGGGUAAUUAUACACAAGAUAUUUAUUACGGAAAGGUUUGUCAGAUCACGUGACAUUCUUGUGACUUGGGUAGCAGUGAUGUGUUGCUAGAUACCGCUCACUGUUUAUAAUAUUGAGAUUAAUAUUAUUNNNNNNNNNNNNNNNNNNNNNNNNNNNNNNNNNNNNNNNNNNNNNNGCACUAAAUCUCCCUCUACCGUCGUCUUGCAGCUAGCACUAAGAGGUGAACGGAAACUGUUUGUGUGGACCGGCUAGAGGUGCUGCGAUCGUGCGGUACUUGUGAUCGACUCAGAAUCGAGGAAUUUGUUCUUCAAAGGUAAUAACCGAAACCCUGAUCAUGUCCAUUCGCAAGGAUCCAUCGAAGGAAAAUUUUAAUUUCCGCUGCGUUUUACAUCUCUGUUUUACUACGAUUUUCCUUCAAAUUAUGCGUUUAAUAAACACUCACCUGAAUUGCUUGCCACUCUGUCGUGCACGCAUAAUCGUCCUCGACGUCGCCACCAACUUCUUCAUCUUGGAAAAACAUUAUCUUCCAAUGUUUGUACACCUCAUCGAGACUAAUGGGCCUAUUGUGUAGCAGUUUCUUGGCAAUCAAACACGCACAUGGCAGCCCGUAGUUAGUCCUCAUCAGACAACCACACUUCAUGCUAUCCAUACCAGUAAACUCGACUCUUUGUGAUUCAGUGUUGAUGUAUUUCAAUGCACAUCUAGAGACUUUAAACAUCAAAGUCGAGUAAAGAGCUUGAUCCCGGUAUGUGUGUCCAUAAACAGACAUGUUCUGGCCAAAUUCAGUUUGUACUUGGGUGAAUUGAUUGCCUAACAUUCUGUGUAUCGAUUCCCAACCCUUCACCAAAUCACCGAGACCGUCAGUCAAGUAACCUUUCAAGACGCCGUGGGCGCUUUCGGCUCUAUUUGUGGUAUGGUUGCCCAUGUGCAUAUACUUGUCCACCCACGCACUCACAACCUUCUCUUUGUCGGUGUCCAAAAUUGUCUCUUCAACGUACCGCACAAAUUUUGGCCACCUCUCACAUAACUUCCUAAAAGUCAUAACAUUUUCAAUAUACUCGGCCUCAGUACACGAAUCUAACACAUCCGCAAAAGCCAAACAGACUUUUUCCCUCAUGUCCGACGCCUUGACCUUUUCUCCAUCCCUCACCUUAACCAGCUCGGCUGCCUUGGUCCUCACAUUCUUCGUAACAUGGAACCGACAAACCAACGCUGCCGCUUCUGGAAACACAGCCGGAAUAGCAUUCAUCAAUGCUAAAUCUCGAUCCGUCAAGAUAACCUUCGGCAAAUUUGCUUCACGCCUUAACAGACAACGCAGUUGUUGCAGAGCCCAUANNNNNNNNNNNNNNNNNNNNNNNNNNNNNNNNNNAACUUUAAGUUAUUUAUCGAGAAAUUUAAUUAACGCGCGAGUUAGUGAGAGUUAAUGCGUUAUUGGGUCAGCCAAUUGGGCUUGAGGCCCAAUGGGCCUUGUGGACUUGUGAGGGGGCGCCCAUAUAGCCUAAAGGGAGAGAGAAACAUUUCAUUUUCUCAUGUUCUUGUGAGAUUCUAGAGAGAAGGAAGAGAGGAGAAGCUAGGGCAAGGGAAAAGUGAAGAGAUUCAAGAGCAAUCUUCGAGUUUUCUUCGAAUCCAGGUAAGAGAGUAGAUUUCAUAUUCGUGGGUGAUACGAGAAAGGGGAGAAUGUCGAUUCCGUACCCGAACUUUCUCCACCCCAUUUUCGUUUGGGUUUUUGGGUGAUUUUCUUAAAGAAAAUGAUAGAGAAUGUUCAUAACAUGUUUAAUAUACUUUUAUCAUGUAGUAUGAACGAUUUUGUGGGUUAAAAUUGGGAAAUUGUAGAUGUUUGAUCAAGAACUUUGUGGUUUAUGAGUUUUUGAGUAAAAAUGAUAAAUCCUUACUUUUUCGAUGUAUUUGAUGUAGAUCUGAGAAUCAAUCUGUCCUUUUAUGUUUAUAUAUAUGUUAUGUACAUGAAGAUAAACUUAUUUGGGAUUUAUAACAUGAAAAAUGGGAUUUUUGGGUGAUUUGGUGUGAAAAACACGAAGUUUGAACAUUGUUGUCAGAAGGCUGUCUCUAAGCCUUCGCUUAGCGAACAGGUGGCGACUGCUGCUAUCCUGAGGCCCUCGCUAAGCGACCAGCUGGCUGUCGCUCGCUGUCGCUCGCCAGAAGCUGUCCAUGCACUGACUUUUGCUCGCCAUCCCUCGCUAGGCCGUCGCUAAGCGACCAGUACUGUGCAGAACAUGUUUUGUUGAUGUUUUAAAGUGCAAUUAGGNNNNNNNNNNNNNNNNNNNNNNNNNNNNNNNNNNNNNNNNNNNNNNNNNNNNNNNNNNNNNNNAUUAUGUUAUUCGAUAAAGACGUAUAUUAAGGUAUAGUGUUAUCUUAAUAAAGAAGAAAUGUUGGAUAGUGUUCCACAUUAUAAAUGAAGAGCUUAAUGUUAUUGAUUGUGAGUGAAUUCAUGAAAUACAUGCAUUCAUAGAAUAUAUGUGAUAUUGGAUAUUCCAAUAAAGAAGGAUAUUGGAUUAUAUUUAUCCGAUAAAGAAGGAUAUUAGAGGUGAGAUACUCUAAUAAAGAAGAUAGUACCACAUGCAUUAGAAAUGUCUAGGAUGACAUAUCAUGAAGUUGAAGCAUUAGAUUUGCAUUAGGUUAUGUGUACAUUAUAUGAUAAUUGGUAUGUGACACAUAAUUGAAAUUGUUUGAUGUAUUUGUCUACAUGAUGAUGGAUAAGUGACAUUAUUUGUACUUGUUGAUGAAAUGUCUUUAUGUGUUAGACAUUAAUUGUUUGAUGAUUACGAAUGAAGUUUUAUUUCAAUUAUGUGGUAUUCAUAAGUAAUUGAAUAUGAAGCAUGCUAAUGAGUUAGAAUAUGAUGAAGUGUUAUGUUUAUUUACUUACACUUGGAUAUUAUUUGAGUAUGACUUCUAACUCUCUUUUAUGUGUUAUGUGCUGGACCGUUGGGGGUCCAGAUUUUACAGGAUAUGUGUCUUUCGUUGUUCGAGUCUUUGGUGAAGCNNNAGAUUGGAAAAAUGUAUCUUUUAUAAGGGAAUUUAUAUUGUAUAAAACGAGUUUUUAUUAAGUAAUCAUGUUAGUAUUAUUUUGUAAAGUGGAGUGUAAUACCUAGAACUAAUAUUCUAUAAAUUAAAUUGAAAUUUUCCGUUGCGUAUUUUGAAAAAGAUUUAAUAAAGGAAGAA
This 17260-nucleotide long non-coding RNA is filed under the name Trifolium pratense (red clover). RNAcentral's name for it is "long non-coding RNA (TPRA_LNC004065)". Lineage: Eukaryota; Viridiplantae; Streptophyta; Magnoliopsida; Fabales; Fabaceae. The record is from RNAcentral.